RNAcentral lists this ribosomal RNA (404 nucleotides) under Pseudomonadota bacterium. RNAcentral's name for it is "bacterial LSU rRNA". It matches the Rfam family "Bacterial large subunit ribosomal RNA", at positions 2549 to 2925 of the family's 2925-position model. The record is from RNAcentral. Lineage: Bacteria; Pseudomonadati; Pseudomonadota.
GGGGCUGUAGCAGGUCCCAAGGGUAUGGCUGUUCGCCAUUUAAAGUGGUACGCGAGCUGGGUUCAGAACGUCGUGAGACAGUUCGGUCCCUAUCUGCCGUGGGCGUUGGAAACUUGAGGGUGAGCUGCUCCUAGUACGAGAGGACCGGAGUGGACGUAUCUCUGGUGUUCCGGUUGUCACGCCAGUGGCACUGCCGGGUAGCUAUAUACGGACGGGAUAACCGCUGAAAGCAUCUAAGCGGGAAGCCCCCCCCAAGAUUAGGUUUCCCUGGGGACUCGAUCCCCCUGAAGGGCCGUCGGAGACUACGACGUUGAUAGGCUGGGUGUGUAAGUGCAGUAAUGCAUUGAGCUAACCAGUACUAAUUGCCCGUGCGGCUUGACCAUAUAACACCCAAUGCGCUUGGG